Molecule: ribosomal RNA, 253 nt
Filed under: uncultured bacterium
Lineage: Bacteria
Description: partial 16S ribosomal RNA
Rfam family: Bacterial small subunit ribosomal RNA
Source: RNAcentral
UACAGAGGUGGCAAGCGUUGUUCGGAAUUACUGGGCGUAAAGGGCGCGUAGGCGGCCUACUAAGUCAGACGUGAAAUCCCCCGGCUUAACCUGGGAACUGCGUCUGAUACUGGAAGGCUUGAGUAUGGGAGAGGGGUGUAGAAUUCCAGGUGUAGCGGUGAAAUGCGUAGAUAUCUGGAGGAAUACCGGUGGCGAAGGCGGCAUCCUGGACCAUUACUGACGCUGAGGCGCGAAAGCUAGGGGAGCAAACGGG